AUCCCCCAAACCAAGGGGGGGUGAGAACCCCCGACCGGGGUUCGACAACUGGCGCAGCCAGUUGGACAGACGACGAGCUUGCGAGGAGACUGCCCGAAGGGCGAGCGCAGCGAGUCAAUCCCCCUCUCACCGCCA
RNAcentral lists this small RNA (135 nucleotides) under Salmonella enterica subsp. enterica. Its description in RNAcentral is "RtT sRNA". It matches the Rfam family "RtT RNA". From Rfam's summary of the family: This family represents a bacterial cis-regulatory element known as RtT RNA. The exact function of RtT is unknown although it is thought that it may be involved in changing the cellular response in relation to amino acid starvation. RNAcentral also lists the same sequence under 1 other name. Lineage: Bacteria; Pseudomonadati; Pseudomonadota; Gammaproteobacteria; Enterobacterales; Enterobacteriaceae. The record is from RNAcentral.